ACGCUCGACACCUACGGGAGGCAGCAGUGGGGGAUAUUGCACAAUGGGGGAAACCCUGAUGCAGCAACGCCGCGUGAGGGAAGACGGUUUUCGGAUUGUAAACCUCUGUCAUCGGUGACGAUAAUGACGGUAGCCGAUGAGGAAGCUCCGGCUAACUACGUGGCAGCAGCCGCGGUAAUCUGAGCGGGCUGGCAAGGC
Molecule: ribosomal RNA, 198 nt
Filed under: uncultured bacterium
Lineage: Bacteria
Description: partial 16S ribosomal RNA
Rfam family: Bacterial small subunit ribosomal RNA
Source: RNAcentral